AGAGUUUGAUUAUGGCUCAGGAUGAACGCUGGCGGCGUGCUUAACACAUGCAAGUCGAACGAAGUUAAGUGAAACCUAGUGAUCUUAACUUAGUGGCGGACGGGUGAGUAACGCGUGGGUAACCUGCCGCAUGCAGGGGGACAACAGUUGGAAACGACUGCUAAUACCGCAUAAGCGCACGGGACCGCAUGGUCCAGUGUGAAAAGAUUUAUCGGCAUGCGAUGGACCCGCGUCCGAUUAGCCAGUUGGCGGGUAACGGCCCACCAAAGCGACGAUCGGUAGCCGGCCUGAGAGGGUGAACGGCCACAUUGGGACUGAGACACGGCCCAAACUCCUACGGGAGGCAGCAGUGGGGAAUAUUGCACAAUGGGGGAAACCCUGAUGCCAGCGACGCCGCGUGAGUGAUGAAGUAUUUCGGUACGUAAAGCUCUAUCAGCAGGAAAGAAAAUGACGGUACCUGACUAAGAAGCCCCGGCUAACUACGUGCCAGCCGCGGC
This 497-nucleotide ribosomal RNA is filed under the name uncultured bacterium. Its description in RNAcentral is "bacterial SSU rRNA". It matches the Rfam family "Bacterial small subunit ribosomal RNA", at positions 8 to 518 of the family's 1533-position model. The record is from RNAcentral.